GGACUACUGGGGUAUCUAAUCCCGUUUGCUCCCCACGCUUUCGCUCCUCAGCGUCAGGAAUAUCCCAGAAAGUCGCCUUCGCCACUGGUAUUCCUCCCGAUAUCUACGCAUUUCACCGCUACACCGGGAAUUCUACUUUCCUCUGAUAUCCUCAAGAAACGCAGUAUCCGAGAAAGCCCCAAAGUUGAGCCUUGAGAUUUCCUCUCGGACUUACGCUCCCGCCUACGAGCUCUUUACGCCCAGUAAUUCCGGACAACGCUCGCUCCCUACGUCUUACCGCGGCUGCUGGCAC
Molecule: ribosomal RNA, 292 nt
Filed under: uncultured bacterium
Lineage: Bacteria
Description: partial 16S ribosomal RNA
Source: RNAcentral